Molecule: ribosomal RNA, 720 nt
Filed under: uncultured bacterium
Lineage: Bacteria
Description: bacterial SSU rRNA
Rfam family: Bacterial small subunit ribosomal RNA
Source: RNAcentral
AAGCAGUUAAGUUGAUUUCUUCGGAUUGAUUCUUAAUUGACUGACCUGUGGACGGGUGAGUAACGCGUGGGUGACCUGCCCCAUACCGGGGGAUAACAGCUGGAAACGGCUGCUAAUACCGCAUAAGCGCACAGAGCUGCAUGGCUCGGUGUGAAAAACUCCGGUGGUAUGGGAUGGGCCCGCGUCUGAUUAGGCAGUUGGCGGGGUAACGGCCCACCAAACCGACGAUCAGUAGCCGGCCUGAGAGGGCGACCGGCCACAUUGGGACUGAGACACGGCCCAAACUCCUACGGGAGGCAGCAGUGGGGAAUAUUGCACAAUGGGGGAAACCCUGAUGCAGCGACGCCGCGUGAGCGAAGAAGUAUUUCGGUAUGUAAAGCUCUAUCAGCAGGGAAGAUAAUGACGGUACCUGACUAAGAAGCCCCGGCUAACUACGUGCCAGCAGCCGCGGUAAUACGUAGGGGGCAAGCGUUAUCCGGAUUUACUGGGUGUAAAGGGAGCGUAGACGGCAAGGCAAGUCUGAUGUGAAAACCCAGGGCUUAACCUUGGGACUGCAUUGGAAACUGUCUGGCUCGAGUGCCGGAGAGGUAAGCGGAAUUCCUAGUGUAGCGGUGAAAUGCGUAGAUAUUAGGAAGAACACCAGUGGCGAAGGCGGCUUACUGGACGGUAACUGACGUUGAGGCUCGAAAGCGUGGGGAGCAAACAGGAUUAGAUACCCUG